GGGAACGGAAGGAGGCAGGCAGGCCGCUCAAUCAGACUCGGCGGCGCUUCGUCGACGCCACUCUUUUUACGCGCGUCGCACAGGAUGGGCGAUCGUCGAAAUGAGAAGCGCGGCUGAGGAGGAUGCGCGUUCGGCGCUGCUGGCGUGUAGGACACACCUAGGAGCGCGUGUGUCGCAGAAGCAGGAAGCCCCUGCUGAGAGUCUGAGGGUCUCGUAAGGCGCUGAAUUUAAAAAAAAAAACAGCACAGGCCACGAUUGACUUUACCGCGCUGUGGUCGCCCUCGGUUCGGCAAGAGGCAGCCUGACCUACAUUCGCUUUACUUCAUCUGCCUCGAUGUUUGUUUAGCCUCCUGGGCAAACACUUAGAGAAAUGUAUGAAGCAGAAUACAUCACGUUUCGGAUGAAAAACAGUCCCUUGACAUUUCUUGACAGCUGCAGCCCUCUAGUGGCCGUGUGCAAGGGCUCCACAUAGCUAGGGCGGUCAUCGCAUCGCAUCGCAUCGCCCCGCUCGCCGCCGUCCCGCAGAAGCGUCUCUCGAAGUCCGCGGUCUGCGCGUCGCAGCGCUUCGAUGUCGCCACGACGCCUCGGCCGGAGAUGCGCACUGCCACACUGCGUGGGGGGGGGCUAACGUCAGCGUUUGCGCUCGUCGUACGGAGGGGUGGAAGAAACGAGAUGUGGGGCCGCGCGUCUCGGCGCGCCGCAGCCGUACAUCCGCGCAUCCAUCAUCGUCCACGCGGUUCGACGACCGCUGCGGCUGACCGGAUGCAGAAGUGUCGUUUAAUCGGGCCGGCCCCCCGCGGCGCUGCGCAAACGCCGUGGAUAAAAGCGGUCCGGUGUUGCCACACGCUCAGACAAUGUUUGGAAACACUGUGGCGCUGCGCCAGAAGGCCGCUCUUCCCUCCGCAGCCCGCGAAGCAGAAAAGCCCAGCGUGGCCGUUUCAUCCGAUUCCAGGAAAUGCCGAUAUGGGCCACAUAUGUCUGCUCUUGCCAUGCAUUCUUCCACUGCAUUAUGCUGCAACUUUUAUCAUUAUUUCUGCCUCACAGCAAGUUAAGUGCUGCGCCGGAAGCCGCUUAUUAUUAUUUAUGAUACAUUGUAUUAGCCGGUGCAUGUUAAUGGCAAAUAAUAAUGCGAGGGAUGCUGCUCGUACCCCUAAUGGAUUCUGCUGCCACGUCCUCCUUGGAUCGCAUCCCAUCUGCCUGGCAGCCGAAAGCACGUAGUCAUCGGAAGGAGGGAAUAUUUACGGCCUCGGCUUACAGAAACGAAAAAGAUGGGAAAUGUGUGAAAAAAUGACUUUGUUUGCUUUUGAAAAGCAGCAAACAAAACACCCCCCCCCCCCAUGCCCCACCCCACAAGGGACCCCUCUGCUUUCCUCUGGAGGAGUUUGCUGAAGAAGUCAUGCGAGGACAGCUACGUGAAGUGCUGUUCCUACCGCUGUGCUUUCGCCAGGCGUGCCGGGCACGGCCGAGGAGCUAAUUUCUCCGGAAAAGCCGAAUUGUCGUUGCUGCCUGUGGUCCCGGGCUCCGAGCGGUAAGGAGCGUUAACAUCUAGCGUACGUACACGUAACACAGCUUCCGCUCGUGAAAUUAAAUCGCUGACAUUCAUUUAGUGGGACGAGUGGUUUCAACCUGCUUGUCAAGGUCUAGCUCAGAAUAAAAACCGCCAAAAAAAAAAAAAAAUCCCUAGU
RNAcentral lists this long non-coding RNA (1685 nucleotides) under Scleropages formosus (Asian bonytongue). Its description in RNAcentral is "lncRNA (ENSSFOG00015024868.1)". The record is from RNAcentral. Lineage: Eukaryota; Metazoa; Chordata; Actinopteri; Osteoglossiformes; Osteoglossidae.